ACAUCAACUCUUUCUUCCUUACACGCCUUCUUCUUCUUCUUCUUCUACAUUUCUUUAGUUUAGUUAUUUUCAAAGGUGGGACAUGGUAUAGAAUAUAAUUUAAUCAUUUAUAACAUGAAUAUAGCAUCUCUUUCAUGCAUGUAUAAGUAUUCUUGAGUUUCUUUUCAUGUUUGGAAUGAAAAUAUUUUACGGGAAACCAUAAAUUCUAUAUAUGUUCUUCAA
Molecule: unclassified non-coding RNA, 222 nt
Filed under: Hevea brasiliensis (rubber tree)
Lineage: Eukaryota; Viridiplantae; Streptophyta; Magnoliopsida; Malpighiales; Euphorbiaceae
Source: RNAcentral